GGAAAGUNUUUUCGGUUGGGGAUGGGCUCGCGGCCUAUCAGUUUGUUGGCGAGGUAAUGGCUCACCAAGACGACGACGGGUAGCCGGCCUGAGAGGGCGACCGGCCACACUGGGACUGAGACACGGCCCAGACUCCUACGGGAGGCAGCAGUGGGGAAUAUUGCACAAUGGGGGAAACCCUGAUGCAGCGACGCAGCGUGCGGGAUGACGGCCUUCGGGUUGUAAACCGCUUUCAGCAGGGAAGAAGCCCUUCGGGGUGACGGUACCUGCAGAAGAAGUACCGGCUAACUACGUGCCAGCAGCCGCGGUAAUACGUAGGGUACAAGCGUUGUCCGGAAUUAUUGGGCGUAAAGAGCUCGUAGGUGGUUGGUCACGUCUGCUGUGGAAACGCAACGCUUAACGUUGCGCGUGCAGUGGGUACGGGCUGACUAGAGUGCAGUAGGGGAGUCUGGAAUUCCUGGUGUAGCGGUGAAAUGCGCAGAUAUCAGGAGGAACACCGGUGGCGAAGGCGGGACUCUGGGCUGUAACUGACACUGAGGAGCGAAAGCAUGGGGAGCGAACAGGAUUAGAUACCCUGGUAGUCCAUGCCGUAAACGUUGGGCACUAGGUGUGGGGGACAUUCCACGUUCUCCGCGCCGUAGCUAACGCAUUAAGUGCCCCGCCUGGGGAGUACGGUCGCAAGGCUAAAACUCAAAGGAAUUGACGGGGGCCCGCACAAGCGGCGGAGCAUGCGGAUUAAUUCGAUGCAACGCGAAGAACCUUACCAAGGCUUGACAUACACCAGACCGUUCUGGAAACAGUUCCUCCCCUUUGGGGUUGGUGUACAGGUGGUGCAUGGUUGUCGUCAGCUCGUGUCGUGAGAUGUUGGGUUAAGUCCCGCAACGAGCGCAACCCUCGUUCUAUGUUGCCAGCACGUAAUGGUGGGAACUCAUAGGAGACUGCCGGGGUCAACUCGGAGGAAGGUGGGGAUGACGUCAAAUCAUCAUGCCCUUUAUGUCUUGGGCUUCACGCAUGCUACAAUGGCUGGUACAGAGAGAUGCGAGACCGCGAGGUUUUAGCGAAUCCCUUAAAGCCAGUCUCAGUUCGGAUCGUAGUCUGCAAUUCGACUACGUGAAGUCGGAGUCGCUAGUAAUCGCAGAUCAG
RNAcentral lists this ribosomal RNA (1143 nucleotides) under uncultured bacterium. RNAcentral's name for it is "bacterial SSU rRNA". It matches the Rfam family "Bacterial small subunit ribosomal RNA", at positions 201 to 1352 of the family's 1533-position model. The record is from RNAcentral.